Clupea harengus (Atlantic herring) is the source of this 3059-nucleotide long non-coding RNA. NCBI's taxonomy places the organism in Eukaryota, Metazoa, Chordata, Actinopteri, Clupeiformes, Clupeidae. The record is from Ensembl.
UCUCCAAUAAUAUGUGAAUAGCCUUUACUAAGGAGAGAAGUAGAUAGCUGUCACUGAGAAAAAGUCGCUAGAUAGCAGUGUCAUUGACUCACCUGUGCCAUUCGUUGUUGUUGUGGGGGCUGUUGUGGUGGUCGUGGUGGUUGUUGUGGGGGCUGUUGUGGUGGUCGUGGUGGGUGCUGUUGUGGGGGCUGUUGUGUUGGUCGUGGUGGUUGUGGGGGCUGUUGUGGUAGUUGCCGCAGCUGUUGUGGUAGUUGUAGCAGCUGUUGUGGGGCCCUUUGUGGUAGUGGUGGCAGAUGUGGGUUCUGUUGUGGCUGCCAUUGUUGUAGUUGCAGCAGCUGUUGUGGUAGUGGUGGGAGCUGCUGUGGGUGCUGUUGUGGUGGUUGCAGCAGCUGUUGUGGUAGUUGCUGCAGCUGUUGUGGUAGUUGAAGCAGCUGUUGUGGUGGUUGCAGUAGCUCUUGUGGUAGUUGCAGCAGCUGUUGUAGUGGCUACUGGAGCGGUUGUGGUAGUUGCAGCAGCUGUUGUGGUGGUUGCUGGAGCUGUUUUGGUGGUUGAAGCAGCUGUUGUGGUAGUUACUGGUGCUGUUGUGGUGGUUGUAGCAGCUGUUUUGGUUGUUUCUGGAGCUGUUGUGGUAGUUGCGGGAGCUGUUGUGGUGGUUGCAGCAGCUGUUGUGGUAGUUUCUGGAGCUGUUGUUGGUGCUGUUGUGGUAGUGGUGGGGGCUGUUGUGGUGGUUGCAGCAGCUGUUGUGGGGGCCUUUAUGGUAGUGGUGGCAGAUGUUGUGGGUUCUGUUGUGGUAGUUGCUAAAGCUGUUGUGGUACUUGCAAUAGCUAUUGUGUUGGUUGCAGCCGCUGUUGUGUAAGUUUGUGGAGCUGUUGUGGUAGUGGUGGGAGCUGUUGUGAGAGCUGUUGUGGUAGAUGCGUGAGCUGUUGUGGUAGUAGUGGUAGCUGUUGUGGUAAUUGCUGAAGUUGUUAUGGGGGCUGUUGUGGUGGUUGCAGCAGCUGUUGUGGGGGCCUUUGUGGUAGUGGUGGCAGAUGUUGUGGGUUCUGUUGUGGCUGCCGUUGUUUUAGUUGCAGCAGCUGUUGUGGUGGUGGUGCGAGCUGCUGUGGGUGCUGUUGUGGUUUUUGCAGCAGCUGUUUUAGUAGUUGCUGCAGCUGUUGUGGUAGUUGAAGCAGCUUUUGUGGUGGUUUUAGUAGCUCUUGUGGUAGUUGCAGCAGCUGUUGUGGUGGUUGCUGGAGCUGUUGUGGUAGUUGCAGCAGCUGUUUUGGUAGUUUCUGAAGCUGUUGUGGGUGCUGUUGUGGUAGUGGUGGUAGUUGUUGUGGUAAUUGCUGCAGCUGUAAAGGGGGCUGUUGUGGUGCUUGCAAUAGCUGUUGUAGGGGCCUUUGUGGUAGUGGUGGCAGAUGUUGUGGGUUCUGUUGUGGCUUCCGUUGUUGUAGUUGCAGGAGCUGUUGUGGUAGUUGCUGAAGCUGUUGUGGGUGCUGUUGUGGUAGUGGUGGUAGUUGUUGUGGUAAUUGCUGCAGCUGUAAUGGGGGCUGUUGUGGUGGUUGCAGCAGCUGUUGUAGGGGCCUUUGUGGUAGUGGUGGCAGAUGUUGUGGGUUCUGUUGUGGCUUCCGUUGUUGUAGUUGCAGCAGCUGUUGUGGUAGUGGUGGGAGCUGCUGUGGGUGCUGUUGUGGUGGUUGCAGUGGCUGUUGUGGUAGUUGCUGCAGCUGAAGUGGUAGUUGAAGCAGCUGUUGUGGUGGUUGCAGCAGCUGUUGUGGUAGUUUCUGGAGCUGUUGUGGGUGCUGUUGUGGUAGUGGUGGUAGUUGUUGUGGUAAUUGCUGUAGCUGUAAUGGGGGCUGUUGUGGUGGUUGCAGCAGCUGUUGUGGGAGCUCUUGUGGUACUUGCAAUAGCUAUUGUGGUAGUUACAGCAGCUGUUGUGGUGGUUGCUGGAGCUGUUGUUGUGGUUGCAGCAGCUGUUGUGGUAGUUGGAGUAGCUUUUGUGGUAGUUGCAGCAGUUGUUGUGUUAGUUUCUGGAGCUGUUGUGGGUGCUGUUGUGGUAGUGGUGGGACCUGUUGUGGUAGUUGCAGCAGCUGUUGUGGUGGUUGCAGCAGCUGUUGUGGUAGUUUCUGGAGCUGUUGUGGUGGUUGCAGCAGCUGUUGUGGUGGUUGCAGCAGCUGUUGUGGUAUUGGUGGGAGCUGUUGUGGGAGAUGUUGUGGUAGAUGCUGGAGCUGUAGUGGUGGUUGCUGGAGUUGUUGUGGUAGUUUCUGGAUUUGUUGUGGGUGCUGUUGUGGUAGUGGUGGUAGCUGUUGUGGUAAUUGCUGCAGCUGUUAUGGGGGCUGUUGUGAUGGUUGCAGCAGCUGUUGUGGGGGCCUUAGCGGUAGUGGCGGCAGAUAUUGUGGGUUCUUUUGUGGCUGCCGUUGUUGUAGUUGCAGCAGCUGUUGUGGUAGUGGUGGGAGCUGCUGUGGGUGCUGUUGUGGUGGUUGCAGCCGCUGUUGUGGUAGUUACUGGAGCUCUUGUGGGUGCUGUUGUGGUAGUGGUGGGACCUGUUGUGGUAAUGGUGGCAGCUGUUGUGGGUGCUGUUGUGGUGGUUGCAGCAGCUGUUGUGGUAGUUUCUGGAGCUGUUGUGGGUGCUGUUGUGGUAGUGGUGGGACCUGUUGUGGUAGAUGCUGGAGCUGUUGUGGUAGUUGCUGGAGCUGUUGUGGUGGUUGCAGCAGCUGUUGUGGUAGGUGCAGCCGCUGUUGUGGUGGUUGCUGGAGCUGUUGUUGUGGUUGCUGGAGCUGUUGUGGUAGUUGAUGCAGCUCUUGUGGUAGUUGCAGCAGCUGUUGGGGUGGUUGUAGCAGCUGUUGUGGUAGUUGCAGCAGCUGUUGUGGUGCUUGCUGGAGCUGUUGUGGUGGUUGCAGCAGCUGUUGUGCUAGUUUCUGGAGCUGUUGUGGGUGCUGUUGUGGUAGUGGUGGUAGCUGUUGUGGUAAUUGCUGCAGCUGUUAUUGGGGCUGUUGUGGUGGUUGCAGCAGCUGUUGUGGUAGUUUCUGGAGCUCUUGUAGGUGCUGUUGUGGUAGUGGUGGGAGCUGUUGUGGUAAUUGCUGCAG